Molecule: transfer RNA, 77 nt
Filed under: Acidobacteriota bacterium
Lineage: Bacteria; Pseudomonadati; Acidobacteriota
Description: tRNA-Arg
Rfam family: tRNA
About the family: Transfer RNA (tRNA) molecules are approximately 80 nucleotides in length. Their secondary structure includes four short double-helical elements and three loops (D, anti-codon, and T loops). Further hydrogen bonds mediate the characteristic L-shaped molecular structure. tRNAs have two regions of fundamental functional importance: the anti-codon, which is responsible for specific mRNA codon recognition, and the 3' end, to which the tRNAs corresponding amino acid is attached (by aminoacyl-tRNA synthetases). tRNAs cope with the degeneracy of the genetic code in two manners: having more than one tRNA (with a specific anti-codon) for a particular amino acid; and 'wobble' base-pairing, i.e. permitting non-standard base-pairing at the 3rd anti-codon position.
Source: RNAcentral
GCGCCCAUAGCUCAGCCGGAUAGAGCAUCUGCCUUCUAAGCAGAGGGUCGCAGGUUCGAGCCCUGCUGGGCGUACCA